AUGAAAAAGAAGAAAAGAACAAGUAACUGAAGGAUCCUCUGAUGGCCUCAAGGCAGUGGAUUGAGAAUAUCUCUUAAGUACAAGGAGGUAUUCUAGAUAUAGCAAGACCUAGCUGAUUUUUUUAACAGUAUGGUGUGGAAGAUCCAGUUCACCCCGAGUAAGAAAGCAUCAUUUCUUCUCUUUGAGAAAACUGGGCCAAAUGGAGGAUGCUGGUCACAUGAUCUACUGAUGCCUGCUAAGCAACAGCAUGGCUGAUUGGACAGAUGUGUUAAUAUAGAUUCUGGUGGAAGCAUAGCUCCUUCCCUUUUUUUGUAUUUUGUUGUUUUUAUCAGUAACUGUAUUUUUACUGAAGUAGAAGUUCAUAAGGAAAAAAAUGAAAAAUAUCACUGUAAGCUAAUUGGCUUUGAAGCUUUGGGGGAUUCAUUUUAUUAUGGAAGAUCAACUGGAAGAUAAAUGCACAUACACAGCAUGAAAAAUAUCGACCCCACAGAAACCACAGGAGAAAGCUCAAUUGGCUGGCAAUGCUAUCUGAUUCAAAGUCCAUUUGUGCUGCUAUAACAAAAUACCUGAGAUUGGGUAAUUUGGCUCAUGAUUCUGGAGACUGGAAGUCCAAGACUGAGGGACUGGCUUCUGGCAAGGACCUUCUUGCUGUGUCAUGUCAUGGCAGAUGGCAGAAAGGUACAAGUGGCUCACGCCUGUAAUCCCAGCACUUUGGGUGAAUCACCUGAGGUCAGGAGUUCGAGACCAGGCUGACCAACGUGGUGAAACCCCAUCUCUACUAAAAGUACAAAAUUUAGCUGGGCAUGGUGGUGGGCGCCUGUAGACCCAGCUACUCAGGAGGCUGAGGUGGGAGAAUCGCUUGAACCAGGAGGCAGAGUUUGCAGUGAGCCGGGAUCGCACCACCACUCUCCAGCCUGAGAGACAGAGCGAGACUCCAUCUCAAAAAAAAAAAAAAAAAAAAACUUAGCAGGAAGCAAAUGAAAGGUCAAAGCAGGCUUGCAGUCAGUGGGCACUCAACUAAGGGAAGCUUAUAAAAUGAAAACACACAAAAAAAUCCAAAAAGGCUUUGCCUCCUUCCUUUCAUAAUAAAAUGCUGACACACCUUAAUUAUAGUGUUGUAAACAGUGCUGUUGGACCACCGCUUCACCAUAUGGGACUGAAAACUGUAAAUAUGUUAGAUAUUGGUUCUUAGGAAAGGAAAAUAUAGAAUAUAUCCUUUGUACGAGUCAUAUUUUUAUGAGGCUGCUGAAGAGUAGCUGAGUGUUGAAUCAAAUCACGAAUUCUCAAGGCCACCAUAAUCAGAGUAGGCAAAGUAUAUAUUUGCUCAGGGAAACAUCUGUUAAGAAAUUUCUCCUGAGUCUCAUCAGUAGUUGGCAAGCUUUACUGCUUUAGCUAUAUUUUCAUUAUUGGCCUGUCUGCAGAAUAGUUUCCACUGGUUGUCCUUCAAUCAUUAAUUCACCAGUAAAGAAAUAAUCUUUUUAAUGGCCCGCCUUUGUUGAUAAUGCUCACAACAAAAUUUAAAUUUUAAAUAGUCACUCAGUGAUUUGUAUUUUAUUCCAUUGUGCUCUUAAAUUUUAUGUACAUGCACAGAGCUCUGAAAAAGGAUAAAAACAAUAAGUUAUGAACUGAGUGUGAAUCAACCAUGGUGGUUACAGUUCAGUUGCUUUUGGAGUAUUGCAGAAGUUGUGUCUUUAGCUAAUAAUGCUUGGUUCAUAGGAGUCACACCGUUACUUCUAAUACUUCUCAGUGACAUUAUUGAAAUCAGCUACAUAAAAUAUACAUGGACUUUUUUUUAGUUCAAGUAGAAGUACCUUCCAACAAAAUAUGCUUUCAUCAAACUAUCAAAUUCAUAAUAGGAAACAAAGCAUUUUCUGGAAAAAGAAAAAGAAAAGACAACCAGAAAAUCAUCUUUUUUGAUACAGUUAUCUCAUAGGCAUAUGUUACCAGUGGCAUGAAUAAAAUACUACAUAAACUUUUUGGACAUAAUUAACAUUAAAACAUACUGGCCAGCAUCAUAUUAUUUUCUCUCUAGAUUUCCAUUUAGUGCUUUCCAUGUGUCAGAGAGUCAAUGUAAAGCUAUCUUGAUAAACCCAUUAACGAAUUGUUGCAUAAUGUUUUAUAGUUGCUUUGCAAGUGAAUUAUUUUUGCUGUGGUACUGCUAAUACAGCAAUCUCUAUGCCCUCUAUGAUUAUUAAUAUGGAAUAAUAAAAAACUGUAACUUUGUCCAACAUUUUCUCUGGUCAAAAUAUUAAUAUAACUUGGCUAAAAAGAAGCAUGGAGAAAAACACAAGCACUAUUUUGUGGUGUGUGAGAUCGACCUGCAGUUGUUAACGCUGUUAUUAAGUUUCAGUAAUUGUUUAGGUCAUCAAUCUCUGACAAGAACCUUUCAGAGUGCUUGAUGAUAUCGCAAGUAUCAAGCUGUGCUGCAUUAAAAAAUGAUGAAUCUCUGUUCAGGUAAAGCUUUGCCCUUUGGCUAUCAUAAUGUAUCACCACUUUGUUUACAAAUGGGUAUUCACUACGCUAAAUGGCAACAGGGUGCAUGCGAUUUUAUAAAUAUGAAAUGUUGGCACUAGCUAAUAUCUGAACUCGUAGUUGAAAGUGCAGCUGGAAGUCUAGGGAAAAUAAUCAUAGUUACUUACAAGAUAAAUAAUUUUGUAAAUUAAAAUCAUUGUGUUUCAACUAUUUAAAUGAUUACAAGUUAUUUUUUUAAAUAACAUGUUUUAAUAGAAUAACUCAAUUUUAACCCUUGGUUUUCUCUAAAACAAGUCUUAUAAUUUUUACCUAAACAUAAAUUUAGAAGCAUUAUACAUAAAUUUGAUAAUUUAUCAAUUUCAAAGGAAUCUCUAAUCGUUGCUAUUAGAUUCAUUAAGCCAUCAGCCACAUUUUGUCCAGGUUAUUAUUGUUUUAGACAAGUCUUAUUUUUGGUAGGAAAAUUAUUUUCUGAACGCAACAAAAUAGAAAUGACUUCAUCUCUUAGUUUACUGAUUGGUUUAAAUGAGCUAAGUGUUACUCCUAUGUAUCCUUGCUUAUUAAUCAAAGGCGGCGUUUUACAGACAUGUAGGAGGGAAACCAUGUAGUGUUUACUGUAACAACUCCUUUUUUUUUUUUUUUUUUGAGACAGUGUUCACUCUGUCACCCUGCUGGAAUGCAGUGCUGUGACCACUGCUCACUACAGCUUUGAUGUCCCAGGCUCAAGUGAUCCUUCCACUUCAGCCUCCCAACUAGCUGGGACUACAGGUGCACACCACCAUGCCAGGCUAAUGUUUCGUAUUUUUUAUAAAGACGGGGUUUCACUCUGUUUCCCGGGCUGGUCUCAAAUUCCUGGGCUCAAAGUGAGCCACCUGCCUCAGCCUCCCAAAGUGCUGGUAUUACAGGUAUGAGCCACUGUGCCUAGCCUAAAGCUAUAAAAUAUUACAGAAAGAAUUGUAGUACCUUGGCUACUCUUCCCUGGUUACCUCCCUUCCCUCCAUUCAUAUCCUGAUAUAUUUAUAUCAUUAGAGUGUUUAUUAAUUUCACAUAUGCAUUUAUACUGUUACUCUAUAAUUGAUCCAAAAAUAUAAUGUAACAUUUUUGUCUAUUUUCAGUGUUUAUAAAAAUAAAAUGAGAGUAUGCAUAUUAUUUAAUUUAUGUUUAUUUGUUCAGUAUUCUAUGUUUGAGUUUUCACCAUGUUAAUGCGUAGAUCUCUGAUUCAUUCCUUUUAAGUGCUGUAUACUAUGCUAUUGAUGGAAUAUACCACAGUUCAUUUUCCAUUCUUUUUUAUUUUUGAUGAGCUGUUAGGCCUGUGUCCAAUGUUUCACUAUUAUAAACAUGAUAUGUUAAUAUCCCUCCAUCUGUCUGCUUAUGCAUGUGUGCUCCGUUUCUCUAGAAGAGUAUGCACCUGGAAAUUUAAAUGUUGUGCGUAUCUACAGUUUCACUGGGACAUUGCCCUAUUGCCCUCCAGGGUAUUUUAAAUAAAUUUAUCUUUUCA
This is a long non-coding RNA of Macaca mulatta (Rhesus monkey), 3967 nucleotides long. The record is from Ensembl. Lineage: Eukaryota; Metazoa; Chordata; Mammalia; Primates; Cercopithecidae.